Antechinus flavipes (yellow-footed antechinus) is the source of this 2867-nucleotide long non-coding RNA. RefSeq lists it as uncharacterized. Lineage: Eukaryota; Metazoa; Chordata; Mammalia; Dasyuromorphia; Dasyuridae. The record is from RefSeq and is a predicted model, not a curated record. The transcript is spliced from 3 exons.
GGCCCCCGGCCCCACGCGCGGUGCUACUGCGGCUGCGGCCGCCGCCGAUUGUUUUUGUUUUCACAGGAACCGACCGAUGACCUGGUUCUCUCCCGGGCUGCACCAAGCGCCGCCGGCCCGAGGGGGAGGGCGGGUAGAGAGCGCCUGGCCGCGGGUCGUACCAAGCGGGGCGUCCGCUGGAAAGAAGGGGGGGGCCGGAUAGCCCACAGAGAGCGGCGGCCCGGGACUCAGGUAGUGCCGAGCGCGGGGCCGGCCGCGCGCAGCCGCGGUUAAAGCGUGGGCUGUACCACAGGAGGCGAGCGAGGGGAGAGGAGGGAGAAACCACCGGACACCCCCGCUCUUGCCAGGCCAAAGGGCAUGCGUAAAGGGAAAGGGGGGAGGCUCCAAGCGGCUGGAAUCCAGUGGGAAACGGCUUCUAACUCCUCCCCCGGGGACGGCGUGAAAACUAGCCAAUGGCCCGGUGCCUAGAGAGGAGGCACUACGUCAUGAGGGAAUCUUCUCCAAUCCAGCACCGCAACAUCAAACCUCCCCCAAUCCGGGUCGAGUGGGCCAAACCAACCGACACGCUGUCGGAGGGGGGGAAAGCGCUCCCGGGAAGGCAAAAGCAACACCGCCCCUUGCUUAAGGAAGCUUGUGCACCACGUCCCAGCUCCUUUCCUAUUUCCAACCUCGCUAGGAUCAGGACGGGAGUGGCCGACCUGACCAGGUCCCAUUGGUAACCGAGGCCCCGCCGCCUCAUACCACCCUACCAACCGUCCUGGGAUGGAAAGGGACCACACUGGAGACUGGAUCUCCAGCAGGAGCAAGCCAAUGGCUUUUAUUAGUCAUUGUGAUUAAUUAGUGACCUUAGAACCCGGUUGGCUCGGUGGGCGGGGGGAGACGCGGGGAGAGAAGGGAGGAGGGAAUUCCAGAAGGCAGGAAGGGCGCAGGCGCAGGCGAGAGGCGGAGCCGACAGGCGCGUGGCUCCCGCACGUGCGGAGGAGGGAAGGCGGGGCUCCUUUGGUUUCCAUGUGUCGGUGUGUUUGUAUUUAUCCGCGGCGCGGGAGGGGUAGGGGAGGAGCCCCUGGAUCGGGCUCCGCUGCGGCUGCUCCGGGAGCUUGGUCCUUCAGUCCUCCGCCCAUGCCUCCUCUUUCUUCCGCGCGCCCAUCCUGCGCUCUUGUUUGUAAACUCUUCGAUUUCUCCAAAUAGACAUUUUCAACCUCUUCAGUUUGAAGAAAAAAUGUUUAAAAAGCUCUUUCCAUCCUCCUAGUAACUGGAGUAACUUGCAGGAAGACUUGAGUGCAAAUCCAUUCUCACUAGGUGUGGGACCCUGCCUCAGUUUCCUCAUCUGCAAAAUGGAAAUAACAUCCCGAGUGGUUUCGAGGAUCAGAUGAGAUUAUAUUUAUAAAGCGCUUCAUAAACGCUAUUGUUAUUAGCUCAUUCUGGAACCCUUUUUGCCCUCACCCCCUCCUGCCUCUUUUGGCCUUCACUGGUGCAUGUGUCCACGGGGCAAGAGGAACCUCCAUCGGCCCCCCCUCACCCAGAUCCUACCUUUAUCCCUGCCUGCUCUUUCCUCAGUCCCCAUUCCCACUCAGGCCAGAAGUCUGGUUUCUCCCCCAUCCCCUCCCGGACCCGGACUCCAACCCCUCCCUCUCCAGCUCUGGGCCAGGCCAGAGCAUUUGGGGGCUCUGGUUUCUCCUCUCCUUUUCUGCACCUCCUCCCACUUCUUACCUGAUGCUUGCCAAAGUUCAGACCUCCCAUCCCUGCUCUUUUCUAGGAAAACUCAGCCAUUCUCAUCACUUGAACAAUCUAUGUAGAAAAUUUUCCAAAUUUGUGUCUCUGGCCCUGACCUGUUUUGCUCCCAAGACCCAAACAUCUCCCUUAGAACAAUCCAUUGUUAACUCAUAUUUUUUAGAGAAUGUUAAAAAUUGUGUUACAUUGUAAUUGGGGAAAUAAAAUACUAACUUUUUUUUUAAAAAACGAUCUAUUGUUAACCUUGAUCUUACCCUAUCCAAAACAAUAUAUCACCUUUAUCAGAACCUGCUCUCUCUGACUUCCCCGUUUCUAUCAGAAUCUCCAUCUUUUUUGAUGUCUACAAGUCACAAAUCCUAUUAUCUCUCCCAUUUUACUUUCUCUUCCAGGCAGUUCUUUUGGUUUGCAGUUAGGAGUUUAUCAUGUGUCAUAUCUCUUAAAGAAAUUAUUUUACAAGCUUCUUGGAAAAACUCGAAGACCUCAAGAAUAGUAGAAUCUUCCUGUUGCCAAUCCAGCAAAAAAAAGACAUCAUCCAACUUUUGGGGAGCUGUGACCUGAUAUCUCUUCCUGCUAUUGUUAAAGGCCUCCUAAGAGACCCCAGCUACAAAAGAUAUGGAAACAAAAGUCUUUGACAUUCCCCUGUGGUUCAUCAUCAGAAAUGGGACUUAAGUUACACGAAGACAUUUGUGGAUUGUCCCUUUUCAAAGCGGAUCAGUGACAUGAAGGAUGAUGACUUGACUCGUGAGUGAAUUGGAUUUAAGGGAGACAGAGCCGUACCAAGUCAUCGAUUGAUGUCACUCUCUUUCUCAGUCAUCUGAGUCCAGAGACUUCUGAAGCCAUAUAUCUGGGAAAGCAACCUCCAUGAAGAUAAGACCAGCCAUACUAUCAACUGCCAUCUUUGGGGCAGAUCAGCCUGUCAAGCUGGAACAUUGAGGCUUCUGAGGAAGAUACAAGAAACAUUCUGUGCCUGAUGGGCCAAGCACCUGCUUCAUCCUCAAUCAUUACUUUCAACUACAACUAGCCACCACCAAUGGACAGGAGCUAUAGCUACUGCUUCCUUACUGAAGACCUGGAAAAGAAAACUCUUGACACCAUUUUGGUCCUGAAAGUGGCUCAAAAUCAGAAACAAAUAUAGU